CCUACGGGUGGCAGCAGUGGGGGAUAUUGCACAAUGGGGGGAACCCUGAUGCAGCGACGCCGCGUGGGUGAAGAAGCGCCUCGGCGCGUAAAGCCCUGUUAGCCGGGAAGAAAAUGACGGUACCUGAAGAAGAAGCGCCGGGUAACUACGUGCCAGCAGCCGCGGUAUUACGGAGGGGGCAAGCGUUAUCCGGAUUUACUGGGUGUAAAGGGGGCGCAGACGGCGAUGCAAGCCAGGAGUGAAAGCGCGGGGCCCAACCCCGGGACUGCUCUUGGAACUGCGUGGCUGGAGUGCAGGAGGGGCAGGCGGAAUUCCUGGUGUAGCGGUGAAAUGCGUAGAUAUCAGGAGGAACACCGGUGGCGAAGGCGGCCUACUGGACUGCAACUGACGUUGAGGCCCGAAAGCGUGGGGAGCGAACAGGAUUAGAUACCCCAGUAGUC
This 440-nucleotide ribosomal RNA is filed under the name uncultured bacterium. Its description in RNAcentral is "partial 16S ribosomal RNA". It matches the Rfam family "Bacterial small subunit ribosomal RNA", at positions 338 to 795 of the family's 1533-position model. The record is from RNAcentral.